GAAGGAUAUUUGAUGUUCACCAAUAGUUUAAAAAAAUGUCUUAGCUAGAAAAGUUAUAUUUUGUUUACAUUUUUAAGUAAAAUUUGAAUUGGAAAAGCAGGGAAUUGUUUGAUUCCAUUAGUGAUUGACAUUAUUCAUCGGCAUUUGUUAGGAUAUGCCUAAAGUGGCAUAUACUGAUUUGGGAGAUCAAAUUUCGGAGUAACUCGAAACAGGAAAAGCAAGAAAUUGUUCGAUUCCAUUAGUGUUUGACAAUAUUCAUCGACAUUCGCUCGGAAAUACCUAAUGUGGCAUCACUGGUUUGGGAGAUCAAAUUUCAAAAUUACUCGAACCAGGAAAAUCAAGAAUUUGUUUGAUAUCCUAUAAGUGCUCGACAAUAUUCAUCGGCAUUCAUUCGGACAAGCAUAUUAUGGCAUAAUGGUUGCAUAUCUGUGAAUUAUUUUAAGAUUUUUGGUCGUUAUAUCUAUAUUCGAUGAAGAACAAUAUGAUAGAAUUUUUGUUCUAAACAAUGACUUCAUUUUAGCUUAUUAUGUGCAUAUAUGUAUUUUCUCAUAUUACUUCUGCUAUUGGUGUCCGUGUAUAGCUAUGUAGUUUCAUUUAUUAUAGCUACUUGUGGGUCUAAAGUUCUUGAUUUAGAUUUUCUAAAAUGAUUUUUGCGUUGUUGAUGCAGAUAUUCUUCUUGAAAAAUGAAAAUCAAUUCAGAAGUAAAAGAAAACUCCUUAAUUUUGGUUAAGCAACGCACCGAGACUGAAAUAUGGUUUUGGCCUUGGUCGCAUAUGGUAUUCAUCUACUCUGAAAAUGGUCGAAGAGUGAUUCUAAUUUGACUGGCCAGGUAAAGGAGUUUAAGAAAAAGGCUUAAAUAUCUCUUGUGGGACACUUCUAUUGGCUAUAAGAAAAUGGCCUAUAAGUUUACGUUUGGCGGCUGACCAACAUGUUUAUGUUGUAACUAUGUCAAUCACAGAGUGGGAUGUUGUUGACCAACAAUCUGCCUAGCAGUGUUGUAGGAGCAUUUUCACCUUGCGUAGCUUUAAAAGAGUGGGAUGUUGUUGACCAACUUGUUGUUUAAUUUGUUCUUCCUAUGUUUUAUUGUCGAAGUUGAAGUAUAUGAAGAAUGACUUUUCUCUUGAGGUUAAUAUAUUUGCCCCCAUGAAAUUAUAGGUGCUUAGAUGGUUCUUACUUCUCACCAAGGCUAAUGAUUACAUCUCUUAUGCGUUACUGCCUGGUGAGAUGACUAUUUGGAGUAGAAACAUGCUCGACAACGGCUAAAAGUUUUACAUUAUGAUUUAUAUGCUUCUGUAGCAGGAGUAGAGGAUUGGAGGAAGAGUCUAAGGCAAGAUGCAUGCUCAUGCAAGUAGUUAUGAAGAAAUAUAUUCUAUUUGAACCUCUGAGGCUCUUGAGUCAAAAUGAUGAUUUGGUUGCAAUUGAAAAGAGCAGCGAAACUUUUGUAAAACCAAUUCCCUAAUGCAUGUUUUGGAAAAUAUCCAGAAAAGCAACUAUUCCUCAGGAGUAUGAAAAAUUGUCCUUAUCUUUGUAUAAUUCAGAUGCCUUUAUGGUCUGCAUUUUUUAAUGUAAUGGCCAGUCUUUAAAUAAAUUAGAUCAAUCAAUGUUGAUAUUUCU
This is a long non-coding RNA of Solanum tuberosum (potato), 1614 nucleotides long. RefSeq lists it as uncharacterized. The transcript has 2 exons. The record is from RefSeq and is a predicted model, not a curated record. Lineage: Eukaryota; Viridiplantae; Streptophyta; Magnoliopsida; Solanales; Solanaceae.